RNAcentral lists this long non-coding RNA (485 nucleotides) under Cricetulus griseus (Chinese hamster). Its description in RNAcentral is "lncRNA (ENSCGRG00015000154.2)". The record is from RNAcentral. Lineage: Eukaryota; Metazoa; Chordata; Mammalia; Rodentia; Cricetidae.
CCAAAGAACCAUCGAAUGAGCUGCUAGUCAUUAUUUGUCUCAAGUAAAGAAACCACAAAUCAUGGGGAAUCCUCUAAGAAAGAGGAGGUUCAGAAGUACAGAUGGACCUUGCAGUCAGUGCUGUGGCACCCCAAGGUGAAGGAAACCAGGCUUUUGUCUGAGUUGGAUCCUGCUAGGAGGCCGAGGUUGGGGACCAGUCAGACCAGUCAAUUCCUGAAAACCACCAGAUUGUUCAAGCAGAGAAGGUUGAUGUUGGGACUGGAGUGAGAACAAGAUGGCAGCUACUGGAUGCUGAUAAAGACAAGGUCAGAUGUGCAAACACUAGCCCUUCCCUGGUCAAUAUUAGUGUGUGAAGACCAAGACAAGAGCAUGUCUGUAUUCCUAGGAAGGAACUGGCAGCCAUGGACACGCAGACGGCUUCUCUGAACAGGUGCUCCAAAAGAAAAGCCUUCCUAAAUUAUUUGUGAAAGCAAAUUUCACUGCAG